This 73-nucleotide transfer RNA is filed under the name Pallidibacillus pasinlerensis. RNAcentral's name for it is "tRNA-Thr". It matches the Rfam family "tRNA". Rfam says of the family: Transfer RNA (tRNA) molecules are approximately 80 nucleotides in length. Their secondary structure includes four short double-helical elements and three loops (D, anti-codon, and T loops). Lineage: Bacteria; Bacillati; Bacillota; Bacilli; Caryophanales; Bacillaceae. The record is from RNAcentral.
GCUUCCAUAGCUCAGUAGGUAGAGCACUUCCAUGGUAAGGAAGGGGUCGUCGGUUCGAAUCCGGCUGGAAGCU